RNAcentral lists this ribosomal RNA (490 nucleotides) under uncultured bacterium. Its description in RNAcentral is "partial 16S ribosomal RNA". It matches the Rfam family "Bacterial small subunit ribosomal RNA", at positions 30 to 507 of the family's 1533-position model. The record is from RNAcentral.
AUUGAACGCUGGCGGCAGGCCUAACACAUGCAAGUCGAACGGUAACAGGAAACAGCUUGCUGUUUCGCUGACGAGUGGCGGACGGGUGAGUAAUGUCUGGGAAACUGCCUGAUGGAGGGGGAUAACUACUGGAAACGGUAGCUAAUACCGCAUAACGUCGCAAGACCAAAGAGGGGGACCUUCGGACCUCUUGCCAUCGGAUGUGCCCAGAUGGGAUUAGCUAGUAGGUGGGGUAACGGCUCACCUAGGCGACGAUCCCUAGCUGGUCUGAGAGGAUGACCAGCCACACUGGAACUGAGACACGGUCCAGACUCCUACGGGAGGCAGCAGUGGGGAAUAUUGCACAAUGGGCGCAAGCCUGAUGCAGCCAUGCCGCGUGUAUGAAGAAGGCCUUCGGGUUGUAAAGUACUUUCAGCGGGGAGGAAGGGAGUAAAGUUAAUACCUUUACUCAUUGACGUUACCCGCAGAAGAAGCACCGGCUAACUCCGUG